Molecule: long non-coding RNA, 767 nt
Organism: Cyprinodon tularosa
Lineage: Eukaryota; Metazoa; Chordata; Actinopteri; Cyprinodontiformes; Cyprinodontidae
Exons: 2
Source: RefSeq, a predicted model, not a curated record
CCGGCUGGAACAUUUCAGCUUGACUGCCACGUCAGUUUGCCUACACUUUUCCUACCCCUCUUAUUCUCUUAGCUUUUUCAGAAAAGGCAGCGAAAGUGAGAGAAAACCAACACCGAGAGAAUGCGGUUUUUCUUUUCUAAUUUGCAUCAGACUUUUUUAGGUUUCUUUUCUUAAUCGAAAAAAGAACAACAACAGAGGCCUGAGAGAGAGAGACCGAGUGACGCAAUGACCUCUGGGUCCUUCCUCCCACCCCCCCACCCAGCCUGCCCAGUGUUCAGACUACCUGUUCCUAGAGCUACAGCUGAACAGUAGUCUGCACAUUGGUUAGGCUAGGCUGGGAUGCACACAGCUCCUCACCUCUGAUGGCGACGGCACCAAAUCCUCAUUAGGGAUAAAUUACACAAAAGCAUGCUGGAGUAAUUUCACGCUUUUCUGGUGUUGAACUGAGUUAUACCCAUUUAUGUCACAUUAAAUAAGUCAAUGGAGAACAGAGUCCUCUCACCUCCUCGUCUUUGUACCAGGACAGAGACUCGGCUGUCAGCACGAACCAGUAUUCCUUGGAGCCUCCCUUCAUGAUGCUGAUGUGGAGGGUUAGCCAGCCUUUCCUGAUUACCUACACAGUGAGGGAAACGUGUGGAGGACACCAGGAGCACGGGGAGGUUGGGAAUUUUAGGAAGUUGGAAGAAAGCAACAGAAACAGUCAAGCUUUUUCACUGUUAAAAUUAGGACAAAAAAAAAAAAAAAAGAAUUAUUUGAUUCAAGGAUUU